RNAcentral lists this ribosomal RNA (497 nucleotides) under uncultured bacterium. RNAcentral describes it as "partial 16S ribosomal RNA". It matches the Rfam family "Bacterial small subunit ribosomal RNA", at positions 28 to 507 of the family's 1533-position model. The record is from RNAcentral.
GAUGAACGCUGGCGGCGUGCCUAAUACAUGCAAGUCGAGCGAACAGACGAGGAGCUUGCUCCUCUGACGUUAGCGGCGGACGGGUGAGUAACACGUGGAUAACCUACCUAUAAGACUGGGAUAACUUCGGGAAACCGGAGCUAAUACCGGAUAAUAUAUUGAACCGCCUGGUUCAAUAGUGAAAGACGGUUUUGCUGUCACUUAUAGAUGGAUCCGCGCCGCAUUAGCUAGUUGGUAAGGUAACGGCUUACCAAGGCAACGAUGCGUAGCCGACCUGAGAGGGUGAUCGGCCACACUGGAACUUAGACACGGUCCAGACUCCUACGGGAGGCAGCAGUAGGGAAUCUUCCGCAAUGGGCGAAAGCUUGACGGAGCAACGCCGCGUGAGUGAUGAAGGUCUUCGGAUCGUAAAACUCUGUUAUUAGGGAAGAACAAAUGUGUAAGUAACUAUGCACGUCUUGACGGUACCUAAUCAGAAAGCCACGGCUAACUACGUG